RNAcentral lists this ribosomal RNA (1414 nucleotides) under uncultured bacterium. RNAcentral describes it as "16S ribosomal RNA". It matches the Rfam family "Bacterial small subunit ribosomal RNA". The record is from RNAcentral.
ACGCUGGCGGCACGCCUAACACAUGCAAGUCGAACGAAGUAGCAAUACUUAGUGGCAGACGGGUGAGUAACAUGUGGGUAUCUGCCCUUUGGCCUGGAAUAACACGAGGAAACUUGUGCUAAUACUGGAUAAGUCUUUACGGAGAAAGCUUUAUGCACCAUUGGAUGAGCCCGCACUUGAUUAGUUUGUUGGUAGGGUAAUGGCCUACCAAGACUUUGAUCAAUAGCUGAUUUGAGAGGAUGAUCAGCCACAUUGGGACUGAGACACGGCCCAAACUCCUACGGGAGGCAGCAGUGGGGAAUCUUGCACAAUGGAGGAAACUCUGAUGCAGCGAUGCCGCGUGAGUGAAGAAGGCCCUUGGGUUGUAAAGCUCUUUCGUCGGGGAAGAAAAUGACUGUACCCGAAUAAGAAGGUCCGGCUAACUUCGUGCCAGCAGCCGCGGUAAUACGAAGGGACCUAGCGUAGUUCGGAAUUACUGGGCUUAAAGAGUUCGUAGGUGGUUGAAAAAGUUGGUGGUGAAAUCCCAGAGCUUAACUCUGGAACUGCCAUCAAAACUUUUCAGCUAGAGUUUGAUAGAGGAAAGCAGAAUUUCUAGUGUAGAGGUGAAAUUCGUAGAUAUUAGAAAGAAUACCAAUUGCGAAGGCAGCUUUCUGGAUCAUUACUGACGCUGAGGAACGAAAGCAUGGGUAGCGAAGAGGAUUAGAUACCCUCGUAGUCCAUGCCGUAAACGAUGUGUGUUAGACGUUGGAAAUUUAUUUUCAGUGUCGCAGCGAAAGCGAUAAACACACCGCCUGGGGAGUACGACCGCAAGGUUAAAACUCAAAUGAAUUGACGGGGACCCGCACAAGUAGUGGAGCAUGUGGUUUAAUUCGAAGAUACGCGCAGAACCUUACCAACACUUGACAUGUUCGUCGCGACUUUAAGAGAUUAAAGUUUUCGGUUCGGCCGGACGAAACACAGGUGCUGCAUGGCUGUCGUCAGCUCGUGUCGUGAGAUGUUGGGUUAAGUCCCGCAACGAGCGCAACCCUCACUUUUAGUUGCCAUCAUUAAGUUGGGCACUCUGAAAGAACUGCCAGUGAUAAGCUGGAGGAAGGUGGGGAUGACGUCAAGUCCUCAUGGCCCUUACGUGUUGGGCUACACACGUGCUACAAUGGUAUCUACAACAGGAAGCGAAACAGCGAUGUUAAGCAAAUCCUUAAAAGAUACCUCAGUUCGGAUUGCACUCUGCAACUCGAGUGCAUGAAGCUGGAAUUACUAGUAAUCGUGGAUCAGCGUGCCACGGUGAAUGCGUUCCCGGGUCUUGUACACACCGCCCGUCACACCAUGGGAGUUGGUUCUACCUUAAGGCAAGGUUUUAUACCCUUGACCACGGUAUAGUCAGCGACUGGGGUGAAGUCAUAACAAGGUAACCGUA